CCGGGUGGACCGCCGAAUCCUGCCGCCGCCCGGGAACCGCACCCGACUACCAUCGCGCGCGGCAGGAGCGGGGGAACCAGGUAAGCCGCUGUUCCGGAUCCAUGUCCGGGACGGCUCGGGGUGAAGCCGUACAUGUGCUGUUCAUGUACGGCCGGACAUCUCCAGUCCGAAUCCGACAGCUCACCUCGCAGGCGACGGAGAGGAAAU
RNAcentral lists this small RNA (207 nucleotides) under Streptomyces sp. RNAcentral describes it as "c-di-AMP sequence". It matches the Rfam family "c-di-AMP riboswitch aptamer (ydaO/yuaA leader)". From Rfam's summary of the family: This family represents a conserved RNA structure found upstream of the ydaO and yuaA genes in Bacillus subtilis and related genes in other bacteria. The ydaO/yuaA element is thought to act as a genetic "off" switch for the ydaO and yuaA genes in its native state. The record is from RNAcentral. Lineage: Bacteria; Bacillati; Actinomycetota; Actinomycetes; Kitasatosporales; Streptomycetaceae.